ACUGUGCGCUUUUUCCCGUGUAAAUGUCUGCUCUUUUCCGUUUGUGCGCAACUACUUCUUUCCCGUGUGAGAACUCUUUCUCCAGUAUUUUGCAAGCUAAAAGCUAAAGCUAAUGCGCAAAGGACUAUGGGAGUGGGGUCAAAACGCAACUGAACACGGAACCUUUCCGGAUAUCAGCUCCAGGACUCAACAUCAUGGAGUAUACAGUGAAUUAUAGCGUGAUAAAGUUAUAAUUUUCACUAAAUUUUCAACUGCACACACUUACCAGUGAACUGUGUGUAAAUCAUCAACCGCCUGUGUAUCAGCUGAUUUCUACACCAGCUUUACAUCCUGAGCAGAAGGUGAGUGCUCAGAAGUAUUUACCUCUCUUUUCAAGAACACCACUGAGCACAUCUUAAUCAGGGGACAGGGACACAUUUCUCUUCAUGGACAUGUGUGUGUUAAUGAAUGGUGGAGAUGGGGCCAAAUUUUGCAGCAAUCCUUAAUAGCAAAACCAAAUAAUUGGUUUUAAUACACAGCAUUACUAAAAGCUUGCAUUCUAUGAAAUUUUGUGUGCGUGCCUGCCUGCGUGUGUCAAACUGAUGUCAUAUGAUGUCAAACAUCAUGAAGUGAUAUUAACUUGCUUAUAAACCCAUAUGUGGAUUUAUAUUACAGAGAUGCCAUGGAGCUGCAUAGUAACACCAUGAAGUCUUUUUACUAGACACUUAUAAUAACAUGUCUUUAUUUCUCCCCUGUUGUAGAUUGUCGUGGAGAGGACGGACCCUUGAUGCUCUGCCUUUUUGCACCAACAAUACAUACAUGUAUUUUAUUAAUUUGUAAAUAAAGUCUUUAAUAUAAUUUUA
Clarias gariepinus (North African catfish) is the source of this 842-nucleotide long non-coding RNA. RefSeq lists it as uncharacterized. NCBI's taxonomy places the organism in Eukaryota, Metazoa, Chordata, Actinopteri, Siluriformes, Clariidae. The transcript is spliced from 2 exons. The record is from RefSeq and is a predicted model, not a curated record.